Molecule: ribosomal RNA, 549 nt
Filed under: uncultured Glomus
Lineage: Eukaryota; Fungi; Glomeromycota; Glomeromycetes; Glomerales; Glomeraceae
Description: SSU rRNA
Rfam family: Eukaryotic small subunit ribosomal RNA
Source: RNAcentral
UUGGAGGGCAAGUCUGGUGCCAGCAGCCGCGGUAAUUCCAGCUCCAAUAGCGUAUAUUAAAGUUGUUGCAGUUAAAAAGCUCGUAGUUGAACUUCGGGACCGGUGGGUUGGUCGUGCCUCCGGUACGUACUGGUCUUACUGGUUCCUCCCUUCUGAAGAACCACGAUGUCAUUAAUUUGGUGUCGUGGGGAAUCAGGACUGUUACUUUGAAAAAAUUAGAGUGUUUAAAGCAGGCUAAAGCUUGAAUAGAUUAGCAUGGAAUAACGAAAUAGGACGUUUGAUCUUAUUUUGUUGGUUUCUAAGAUCGACGUAAUGAUUAAUAGGGAUAGUUGGGGGCAUUAGUAUUCAAUUGUCAGAGGUGAAAUUCUUGGAUUUAUUGAAGACUAACUACUGCGAAAGCAUUUGCCAAGGAUGUUUUCAUUAAUCAAGAACGAAAGUUAGGGGAUCGAAGACGAUCAGAUACCGUCGUAGUCUUAACCAUAAACUAUGCCGACUAGGGAUCGGAUGAUGUUAAUUUUUUAAUGACUCAUUCGGCGCCUUACGGGAAAC